UACGUAGGGUGCAAGCGUUGUCCGGACUUAUUGGGCGUAAAGAGCUCGUAGGCGGUCAGUCGCGUCUGCUGUGAAAACUCGGGGCUUAACCCCGGGCCUGCAGUGGGUACGGGCUGACUAGAGUGCGGUAGGGGAGACUGGAAUUCCUGGUGUAGCGGUGAAAUGCGCAGAUAUCAGGAGGAACACCGGUGGCGAAGGCGGGUCUCUGGGCCGUAACUGACGCUGAGGAGCGAAAGCGUGGGGAGCGAACAGG
RNAcentral lists this ribosomal RNA (253 nucleotides) under uncultured bacterium. RNAcentral describes it as "partial 16S ribosomal RNA". It matches the Rfam family "Bacterial small subunit ribosomal RNA", at positions 524 to 776 of the family's 1533-position model. The record is from RNAcentral.